CGCGUAGGCGGGCGAUCAAGUCAGGGGUGAAAGCCUCCAGCUCAACUGGAGAAGUGCCUUUGAUACUGGUCGUCUCGAGGGAGAUAGGGGCGUGCGGAACUUCCGGUGGAGCGGUGAAAUGCGUAGAUAUCGGAAGGAACACCGGUGGCGAAAGCGGCGCGCUGGAUCUCUUCUGACGCUGAGGCGCGAAAGCCAGGGGAGCAACG
RNAcentral lists this ribosomal RNA (206 nucleotides) under uncultured bacterium. RNAcentral's name for it is "partial 16S ribosomal RNA". It matches the Rfam family "Bacterial small subunit ribosomal RNA", at positions 568 to 773 of the family's 1533-position model. The record is from RNAcentral.